Poecile atricapillus (Black-capped chickadee) is the source of this 3458-nucleotide RNA transcript. It is a transcript of the gene named bromodomain containing 8, with no coding region annotated. The record is from RefSeq and is a predicted model, not a curated record. The transcript has 22 exons. Lineage: Eukaryota; Metazoa; Chordata; Aves; Passeriformes; Paridae.
GCCGCCUCCCGGCGGGCUUUGCGCGCGGUGCCACCCCUGUCGCCCUCAGGGCCGGGCGGGGAAGAUGGCGGCGGGGCCGGGGAAGCACAAGCUCCUGAGCGCCGGCCCCACCGAGCCCUGGUCCAUCCGCGAGAAGCUCUGCCUGGCAUCCUCCGUCAUGCGCAGCGGCGACCAGAACUGGGUCUCAGUCAGCAGAGCCAUCAAACCUUUUGCAGAGCCAGGACGCCCACCUGACUGGUUUUCCCAAAAGCACUGUGCAUCUCAGUACUCAGAGCUCUUGGAGACCACGGAGACCCCUAAAAGGAAACGUGGUGAGAAGGGAGAAGUUGUGGAAACUGUGGAAGAUGUUAUUGUGCGGAAACUGACUGCAGAGCGGGUUGAGGAGUUGAAGAAAAUUAUUAAAGAAACACAGGAAAAAUACAGACAACUCAAGAAGGAUGCAGAGCUGAUCCAGGCCGGACACAUGGAUAACAGACUGGAGGAGCUGUGCAAUGAGAUCAUGAUAAAGAAAAAAAUGGAAGAAGAGGAGGCAGAAGUCAAGAGGAAGGCUACAGAUGCUGCUUAUCAGGCUCGCCAGGCCAUUAAGAACCCACCUCGAAGGCUCACGGGGGUGAUGGUUCGUUCUCCUGCUGGCUCCACCUCCCCGGGCGGGGAUUAUUCCCUCGGAGAUCUGUCCCAGCCCGCUGGGGAUGAGGCCAGUCCAGGGGUCGGUGAAAAUGAAAUGGCAGUGGCUUCUGGUCACAUGAACAGCUCUGGAGUGCUGCUGGAGGUAGGAAGUGUCCUUCCAGUGCUGCACAGUGGGGAAAUGCAGUCGGCACCUGGUGCUGUCCCUGCAUCUCCGGCUGCUUCAGGUGCUCCUACGCUUUCCCGGCUUUUAGAAGCUGGUCCUGCACAGUUCACCUCACCUCUUGCUUCCUUCUCCGCUGUUGCCAGCGAGCCUCCAGCUAAGCUCCUGCCACCCCCCGUAGAGCCUGUGUCCCAGGCCACUAUUGUCAUGAUGCCCACGCUGUCAGCACCAGCCGUUGUGCCACCAGCUGCAGCUCCAGAAAGCAUAGCCACAGUGAGCCAGCCAGAAGCCUGUGUUUCCAUGGAGGCAGUGUCUGAUUCCCAUACUGUAACAGUGUCCAUGGACAGCAGUGAAAUAUCAAUGAUCAUUGAUUCCAUCAAGAAAGACUGCCUGGGUUCUGGGGCUGGCAACACUGCAGGAUCUUCCAAAGAUCACUGCAUGGAUGGGAAAGAAGAUCUGGAUCUGGCUGAAAAAAUGGAUAUUGCAGUGUCCUAUACGGGGGAAGAGCUGGACUUCGAUACGGUUGGAAAUAUUAUAGCCAUCAUUGAGGACAAGGUAGAUGACCACCCUGAAGUCCUGGAUGCAGCAGUUGUUGAAGCUGCUCUGUCUUCUUUCUGCGAAGAUACCGAUGACCCUCAGACUCUUCCUGGCCCGUGGGAACAUUCAAUUCGUCAGGAGCAUGAGAAACAAGCCCAGAUGCCACAAGUGUCUGUGACUGUGAAGCAGGAGAGAUUGGAGUGUGAGGAACCAGAGGCAAAGGGAAUUCGAGACCUAAUGGGUAUCAAUGAGCUGGGGCCAGAAAUAAAGACUGAACUUGCAGAGCAGGACCAGAGUCAGCUGGGCCCUGAAGAAACCAUACCAGCAACUGCAAGAGUGACAGAAACACCAGAGCUUAGAAACCAAGAGAUAGAGGAAGAUCAAAGAGCAGCUGUAACAUCAGGAGAGACUUCUGAAAUCAAGAUAGAGUCAUCCCAGGGAGAAGACGCAGUGCUCAAUCCAGUGAAGACAGAGACCCCACCUGAUGAUGAUUCAUCCCCUCCACAAGUCCCAAAUGUGAGUGAAGACUCCUCACAGGCUGAUGUUCAGCACAAAUUUGAGCUGUCAGAGUCAAUGAAGGAGGAGGCCCAAGCCCUGUUUAGGAGUCAGAUGAAGGAUGGGCAGGGUGAGGAGGAUGAUGAGGAUGGUGCCAGUGAGGCUGCCAGUUUGGAGGAACCCAAAGAAGAAGACCAGGGUGAGGGGUAUCUCUCAGAGAUGGAUAACGAGCCCCCCGUGAGCGAGAGCGAUGACGGCUUCAGCGUCCACAACGCGCCCUUGCAGUCCCACACGCUCGCCGACUCCAUCCCCAGCAGCCCGGCCUCCUCGCAGUUCUCAGUGUGCAGUGAGGACCAGGAAGCAAUACAGGCUCAGAAGAUCUGGAAGAAAGCCAUCAUGCUGGUUUGGAGAGCAGCAGCUAAUCACAGGUAUGCCAAUGUCUUCUUACAGCCUGUAACUGAUGACAUAGCACCAGGCUACCACAGCAUCGUGCAGAGGCCAAUGGAUUUAUCUACCAUCAAAAAGAACAUUGAGAACGGGCUGAUCCGAACCACAGCUGAGUUCCAGCGGGAUAUUAUGCUGAUGUUUCAGAAUGCAGUGAUGUACAACAGCUCUGACCAUGAUGUGUACCACAUGGCUGUGGAGAUGCAGAGAGAUGUCCUGGAGCAGAUCCAGCAAUUUCUGGCCACACAACUGAUGAUGCAAACAUCAGAGUCAGGGAUCAGUGCAAAGAGCCUGCGGGGGCGAGACUCCACUCGCAAGCAGGAUGCUUCGGAGAAGGACAGUGUCCCAAUGGGCUCUCCUGCCUUCCUUCUCUCUCUCUUUCUGCCCCUUCCACACGUCCGAGGCAGUACAAAAGGUCUUGGGAGAAUGAGGAGUCAGCUGUGUGUCCUUUAUCCGUUCCUGGUUCAGAAAGUAAAUAAGACUCUGCAGAAAUAUCUUGCUCUGUGCCUGUGGUCAUCUGGAAGUGUUUGGAAAAUUAUUCCCUCUGGGAAACCCCUAGUCUCUGAGUCACUGUGAGGAAAGAGAGGAGGAAGAUGUAUCUCACAUGUAUCUAAAGACAGAGGAGUACUCCGGGAGAGGCAGCAGAUCAGCCAGAGAGGGCAGCGGAUCAGAGGAAGCUCUCAGCUCACCUGCUUGUGGAAAAGAGCUGUGUGGAGGAUCUAGGGAGCCUAGUGCCAGGGUCACUCAGCUGGAGGAGCACUUCCCAUAGGGAUCAGCAGCUAAUCAGGACGGAGGCACCAGAGGGCGGCGCUGCGCCAUCGAGGCCGACAUGAAGAUGAAGAAAUGAUGCUGAAGACACAAAAUCCCGGCGGAAUCCCAGGCAUUCGGAGCUGGAGUACAAGCAGACAGCUCUUAACAGCUGUUGGAGGAGGAGGAAAAGCUGCAGGUCCAUUUCUGGGACCUGGUUCACCACCUUUGCUUGCCCUUCUGGACGGCAGUGUCUUGUCAGAAUGUGUAACCCAAAGAAACUUCCCCAGAGGGGAAGACCGGCCCCCCUGCCUGUUUUAGGGCAGUUGUCUUGGGCUUCAUCAGUGUUCUGGUGUUAGCUAGCAACUGGUGGCUCGUAUGUACUGUAAUGUGAAGUGUACAGAUUUUUACUAGUGAUGUGUAAAUGUGAUGUAUAUUAAAAUCUGGG